GCACCAAUGGAUUGUGCUCUGGUACCAGUUAACCAACAGUGUCCAGUGUCAUCGCACAAUGCAACAAGAAUCUGUGCCAGUGUUGACAGUUCAUCUCUACAACAGCUCUUGGACUCUGGGAUCUCAACG
Molecule: non-coding RNA, 129 nt
Organism: Salmo salar (Atlantic salmon)
Lineage: Eukaryota; Metazoa; Chordata; Actinopteri; Salmoniformes; Salmonidae
Source: RefSeq, a predicted model, not a curated record